Molecule: ribosomal RNA, 497 nt
Filed under: uncultured bacterium
Lineage: Bacteria
Description: partial 16S ribosomal RNA
Rfam family: Bacterial small subunit ribosomal RNA
Source: RNAcentral
GAUGAACGCUGGCGGCGUGCCUAAUACAUGCCAGUCGAGCGAACAGACGAGGAGCUUGCUCCUCUGACGUUAGCGGCGGACGGGUGAGUAACACGUGGAUAACCUACCUAUAAGACUGGGAUAACUUCGGGAAACCGGAGCUAAUACCGGAUAAUAUAUUGAACCGCAUGGUUCAAUAGUGAAAGACGGUUUUGCUGACACUUAUAGAUGGAUCCGCGCCGCAUUAGCUAGUUGGUAAGGUAACGGCUUACCAAGGCGACGAUGCGUAGCCGACCUGAGAGGGUGAUCGGCCACACUGGAACUGAGACACGGUCCAGACUCCUACGGGAGGCAGCAGUAGGGAAUCUUCCGCAAUGGGCGAAAGCCUGACGGAGCAACGCCGCGUGAGUGAUGAAGGUCUUCGGAUCGUAAAACUCUGUUAUUAGGGAAGAACAAAUGUGUAAGUAACUAUGCACGUCUUGACGGUACCUAAUCAGAAAGCCACGGCUAACUACGUG